AAGGCUGUCGAUGGACCUGACAUCUACCAUAAAAUUUUAUACCUUCACCUGCAAGGAAAAGGGAAUUAUUUACCCGGUAGAGCAUACACCAUGUUUAAUGUAAUGAUGGUUUUUUAUUGCAAAACUGAGAAGCAAAUGCAAGAGACAUCAGUUACACCACUGUGAAUCCUUGCUUUUGUGACGUAUGUCUCAUGACACUAUCACAGUUGGUCUAAGCAUUCUUUUUUUUUCAAACACGCAGGAAAGCUGCAUAUCAUUAUAUUAAUAGGAGAAGAUAGAGUCAUACAGAGAUCCAAACACACACUCACACACCC
Molecule: long non-coding RNA, 314 nt
Filed under: Setaria viridis
Lineage: Eukaryota; Viridiplantae; Streptophyta; Magnoliopsida; Poales; Poaceae
Description: long non-coding RNA (SVIR_LNC005855)
Source: RNAcentral